RNAcentral lists this long non-coding RNA (576 nucleotides) under Crocodylus porosus (Australian saltwater crocodile). RNAcentral's name for it is "lncRNA (ENSCPRG00005001023.1)". Lineage: Eukaryota; Metazoa; Chordata; Crocodylia; Crocodylidae. The record is from RNAcentral.
CGGGGCGCGGGGCAGCCCUGCCGCUGCCCCCGGGCCCGGCCUGGCCCUGCGACGGGGGCGCUUGCAAAGCAGCCCCCUGACACGUGCCCCCCAAGCGAGGCGGGGAGGGGAUGGGGGAAACCUCCUCCUUUCCCGCAAAGCAGUUGCACCCUCCCCCCCCCCACCUCUGAUCCUCCAGCAACUCCGCGCAGAAAGUCAAGUCGCGGCGGCUUGCAGCCUCCCCGCCCGGCUGUCCCAGCCGGCAGCAGGGCCUCAGGAGUCCCGCGGGGGGUGGCGGUCUGUCCCCGGCGUUGUCUGGGCUCCUCGGUGCCACCAGCAGCGCCUUCACCCCGUGCGGAUUCGGAUCUCUCCGGCCUGCUUCUAAUUCCGCAGCGGAACAAAGGGAAUGUGGAAAUGAAAGAGAGAGGGAGAGAGAGGCUGGCAGAUGUGAUGAGAUGCGGUGAAGGUGUAUCCAGCUUGGCACUCCCACUCCUCUCUGCUCCUCUCAUUGCAGCCCUGGGUGACUCUCAGGCUAACACAAACAGCUUUUCUUCCGCAGCCUGCCCUCUGUCACUGAGGAUGCCCGAUUGCCACUGA